RNAcentral lists this ribosomal RNA (216 nucleotides) under Triticum aestivum (bread wheat). Its description in RNAcentral is "partial small subunit ribosomal RNA". Lineage: Eukaryota; Viridiplantae; Streptophyta; Magnoliopsida; Poales; Poaceae. The record is from RNAcentral.
AUGAGCUCUGGGAAGACGUCGUGGCCAGAGUUGGUGGGCAUGCCGGCGACACCAGCGGUGAUGACCAUCAACAGCCAGAGGCCUGACUUGACGACCGAGGUGCUCCAGAUUGGGAUCAGUCCAAGCCCACCUGGGUUCGACUCGACACGAGUCUGUGUGUACCUCGACCCACGAGACAAGCUUGGCCUUGUUGCAGCCGUCCCCGUCGUUGGCUAG